Molecule: ribosomal RNA, 2810 nt
Filed under: Neisseria gonorrhoeae
Lineage: Bacteria; Pseudomonadati; Pseudomonadota; Betaproteobacteria; Neisseriales; Neisseriaceae
Description: bacterial LSU rRNA
Rfam family: Bacterial large subunit ribosomal RNA
Source: RNAcentral
AGUGCAUCAGGCGGAUGCCUUGGCGAUGAUAGGCGACGAAGGACGUGUAAGCCUGCGAAAAGCGCGGGGGAGCUGGCAAUAAAGCUAUGAUUCCGCGAUGUCCGAAUGGGGAAACCCACUGCAUUCUGUGCAGUAUCCUAAGUUGAAUACAUAGGCUUAGAGAAGCGAACCCGGAGAACUGAACCAUCUAAGUACCCGGAGGAAAAGAAAUCAACCGAGAUUCCGCAAGUAGUGGCGAGCGAACGCGGAGGAGCCUGUACGUAAUAACUGUCGAGAUAGAAGAACAAGCUGGGAAGCUUGACCAUAGCGGGUGACAGUCCCGUAUUCGAAAUCUCAACAGCGGUACUAAGCGUACGAAAAGUAGGGCGGGACACGUGAAAUCCUGUCUGAAUAUGGGGGGACCAUCCUCCAAGGCUAAAUACUCAUCAUCGACCGAUAGUGAACCAGUACCGUGAGGGAAAGGCGAAAAGAACCCCGGGAGGGGAGUGAAACAGAACCUGAAACCUGAUGCAUACAAACAGUGGGAGCGCCCUAGUGGUGUGACUGCGUACCUUUUGUAUAAUGGGUCAACGACUUACAUUCAGUAGCGAGCUUAACCGGAUAGGGGAGGCGUAGGGAAACCGAGUCUUAAUAGGGCGAUGAGUUGCUGGGUGUAGACCCGAAACCGAGUGAUCUAUCCAUGGCCAGGUUGAAGGUGCCGUAACAGGUACUGGAGGACCGAACCCACGCAUGUUGCAAAAUGCGGGGAUGAGCUGUGGGUAGGGGUGAAAGGCUAAACAAACUCGGAGAUAGCUGGUUCUCCCCGAAAACUAUUUAGGUAGUGCCUCGAGCAAGACACUGAUGGGGGUAAAGCACUGUUAUGGCUAGGGGGUUAUUGCAACUUACCAACCCAUGGCAAACUCAGAAUACCAUCAAGUGGUUCCUCGGGAGACAGACAGCGGGUGCUAACGUCCGUUGUCAAGAGGGAAACAACCCAGACCGCCGGCUAAGGUCCCAAAUGAUAGAUUAAGUGGUAAACGAAGUGGGAAGGCACAGACAGCCAGGAUGUUGGCUUAGAAGCAGCCAUCAUUUAAAGAAAGCGUAAUAGCUCACUGGUCGAGUCGUCCUGCGCGGAAGAUGUAACGGGGCUCAAAUCUAUAACCGAAGCUGCGGAUGCCGGUUUACCGGCAUGGUAGGGGAGCGUUCUGUAGGCUGAUGAAGGUGCAUUGUAAAGUGUGCUGGAGGUAUCAGAAGUGCGAAUGUUGACAUGAGUAGCGAUAAAGCGGGUGAAAAGCCCGCUCGCCGAAAGCCCAAGGUUUCCUACGCAACGUUCAUCGGCGUAGGGUAAGUCGGCCCCUAAGGCGAGGCAGAAAUGCGUAGUCGAUGGGAAACAGGUUAAUAUUCCUGUACUUGAUUCAAAUGCGAUGUGGGGACGGAGAAGGUUAGGUUGGCAAGCUGUUGGAAUAGCUUGUUUAAGCCGGUAGGUGGAAGACUUAGGCAAAUCCGGGUUUUCUUAACACCGAGAAGUGAUGACGAGUGUCUACGGACACGAAGCAACCGAUACCACGCUUCCAGGAAAAGCCACUAAGCUUCAGUUUGAAUCGAACCGUACCGCAAACCGACACAGGUGGGCAGGAUGAGAAUUCUAAGGCGCUUGAGAGAACUCGGGAGAAGGAACUCGGCAAAUUGAUACCGUAACUUCGGGAGAAGGUAUGCCCUCUAAGGUUAAGGACUUGCUCCGUAAGCCCCGGAGGGUCGCAGAGAAUAGGUGGCUGCGACUGUUUAUUAAAAACACAGCACUCUGCCAACACGAAAGUGGACGUAUAGGGUGUGACGCCUGCCCGGUGCCGGAAGGUUAAUUGAAGAUGUGCAAGCAUCGGAUCGAAGCCCCGGUAAACGGCGGCCGUAACUAUAACGGUCCUAAGGUAGCGAAAUUCCUUGUCGGGUAAGUUCCGACCCGCACGAAUGGCGUAACGAUGGCCACACUGUCUCCUCCCGAGACUCAGCGAAGUUGAAGUGGUUGUGAAGAUGCAAUCUACCCGCUGCUAGACGGAAAGACCCCGUGAACCUUUACUGUAGCUUUGCAUUGGACUUUGAAGUCACUUGUGUAGGAUAGGUGGGAGGCUUGGAAGCAGAGACGCCAGUCUCUGUGGAGUCGUCCUUGAAAUACCACCCUGGUGUCUUUGAGGUUCUAACCCAGACCCGUCAUCCGGGUCGGGGACCGUGCAUGGUAGGCAGUUUGACUGGGGCGGUCUCCUCCCAAAGCGUAACGGAGGAGUUCGAAGGUUACCUAGGUCCGGUCGGAAAUCGGACUGAUAGUGCAAUGGCAAAAGGUAGCUUAACUGCGAGACCGACAAGUCGGGCAGGUGCGAAAGCAGGACAUAGUGAUCCGGUGGUUCUGUAUGGAAGGGCCAUCGCUCAACGGAUAAAAGGUACUCCGGGGAUAACAGGCUGAUUCCGCCCAAGAGUUCAUAUCGACGGCGGAGUUUGGCACCUCGAUGUCGGCUCAUCACAUCCUGGGGCUGUAGUCGGUCCCAAGGGUAUGGCUGUUCGCCAUUUAAAGUGGUACGUGAGCUGGGUUUAAAACGUCGUGAGACAGUUUGGUCUCUAUCUGCAGUGGGCGUUGGAAGUUUGACGGGGGCUGCUCCUAGUACGAGAGGACCGGAGUGGACGAACCUCUGGUGUACCGGUUGUAACGCCAGUUGCAUAGCCGGGUAGCUAAGUUCGGAAGAGAUAAGCGCUGAAAGCAUCUAAGCGCGAAACUCGCCUGAAGAUGAGACUUCCCUUGCGGUUUAACCGCACUAAAGGGUCGUUCGAGACCAGGACGUUGA